GACGAACGCUGGCGGCGUGCUUAACACAUGCAAGUCGAACGGAAAGGCCCUGCUUUUGUGGGGUGCUCGAGUGGCGAACGGGUGAGUAACACGUGAGUAACCUCCCCUUGACUUUGGGAUAACUUCAGGAAACUGGGGCUAAUACCGGAUAGGAGCUCCUGCUGCAUGGUGGGGGUUGGAAAGUUUCGGCGGUUGGGGAUGGACUCGCGGCUUAUCAGCUUGUUGGUGGGGUAGUGGCUUACCAAGGCUUUGACGGGUAGCCGGCCUGAGAGGGUGACCGGCCACAUUGGGACUGAGAUACGGCCCAGACUCCUACGGGAGGCAGCAGUGGGGAAUAUUGCACAAUGGGCGGAAGCCUGAUGCAGCAACGCCGCGUGCGGGAUGACGGCCUUCGGGUUGUAAACCGCUUUCGCCUGUGACGAAGCGUGAGUGACGGUAAUGGGUAAAGAAGCACCGGCUAACUACGU
This 467-nucleotide ribosomal RNA is filed under the name uncultured bacterium. RNAcentral's name for it is "partial 16S ribosomal RNA". It matches the Rfam family "Bacterial small subunit ribosomal RNA", at positions 28 to 506 of the family's 1533-position model. The record is from RNAcentral.